This 2865-nucleotide long non-coding RNA is filed under the name Musa acuminata (dwarf banana). RNAcentral describes it as "long non-coding RNA (MACU_LNC002275)". The record is from RNAcentral. Lineage: Eukaryota; Viridiplantae; Streptophyta; Magnoliopsida; Zingiberales; Musaceae.
AACUGUGGAUGGUUUGGAGCUGAUAACCAACCUUCUUCUUGCACCAAGAGAGGGAGAACGUGUCGCUAAUGCCCGAGCAAUCCUUCUCGUUCAACGAGUUGGCAGUGCGCCACAGAUUGGGUGGAGAGGUGCAGAGGGCUUGCCCCGUCUUAUCAGGCGACGGGGACCGCACGGUGGCCAUCUCCAUCCCCGUCCCCGUCUCCAUUGACCGCAGCGAAAACUACAGCUCCCCCUUCUCAUCAACGGCUGGUCACGGCCGGCACUCCAAGAAUGAUUCCCACUGAAUAAUGAAUGCUCGAGUUGCCCAUUUCCCUUCUUUCACGGCAGCCAAGUUUAUCGUAGCCCUUUCUGGCAGUUGUUUGUUCUUUGUUUCUUUGAACAAGACGUGGGGCUGCAAUGAUGAAUCACACCACCUGGGAAUUUUGGCACCUACAUGUUAGAAAGAGAACAUACACAUGAUAUGAGACAGUUCAUGCUUGGUCUCUUCAGGUGCUCAUGCUCCCUGAAUCCAGAAAUCAACAACCUGGCACCUUUGUAUUCUUCAAAACUCAUCUCGGUAAUUCUCCUGCUGUUCCCUCCCGAAACUUGCCACCUUCACUCAUCUUACUGUUCAUCUCCUAGCAAGUGAUGAUCAAAGAUUUUUCUUCUUUUUUGCUUUGAAAAAGACACCAGCACUGUAAGAAGUUUAUUCGUACAAAUCACAAGCUGCCAACCCACACAAAAGAGAGAAAAAUGUGAGUUGAAGGAUUACCUUUAGGAGGGAGUGUGCAUUACGAUUGUCACUGUUAUGAAAUUUGAAAUGGUCUCUGUUUUUCAUCAAACAUUUUUUAUGAUCGAACAGUAUUACUGUAUGAAGAUGCGCUGACUAAACCUUUUCCACGACUGAAGAUGUGGUAAUUAAACUUCUCUCAUCCUUCUGAAGCCAAAAAAGAAAAAAAAAAGUCUGGGUAGCCAUAUGCAAAUCAUUUUCUACGAGUUCAUGAGACGGUCCAUCGUCAAAGUGAUCCAGCUUUCAACCCAUCAUGCAUCUUGCAUUACAAAGGUGUGCUUCUCCCACCGAAAAUUCUAGCCAAUUAGCAACUAUCCAUCCCUAUGGAAUUUGAGUCUUCUACUUCCUUUCUGGAUGCACCUUGUCACUACUUUCUUGUGAUUGCAGAAGUGCAAAGCUAGAUUGUAAGAUUGUAAGAUACAGUGUUAUCAAAGAAAGGGAGUAGUCAUAGGUAGAGUGGAAUCUCUUCUGAUGACUUGCCCAAUUUUCUCUUAACCUUUCCAUUAUCUUCGUUUCAAUGCUCUGCAAUCAACCAUCACUUUGCUAGAAGAUGCUGUCACGGUAGCUUCUCUGCAAAUGAUGCUCUUUUUCCCGUACGUACUAGUAGACAUAUUGUUGAGUGCUUUCCAUGUCGUACCAAACCAAGAAAUUAGUAAAUACCAACUCUAUGUUUCACCAAAUCCUAAGCAUUGUCUGCUCCUCUUUAUGAUUGCUGCCUGGACAAGUUGUGUUCGACUCGACAUCAUGGAAACUUAUUUUGAGUGAGAAUUGAUUCUUUUUGUCAGCUCCUGACAACCUGACAUCCGGUGAGAAUGGUCGAGUAACUUGCAGGGUGGUACAGACCUCUUCUACUUUGUCCAUUAUAAUUAGUCAGUAGGGACAAAUGAAACCUUGUUUUCUUUAGAUUAUGAAAUACUCCUAAGAUCAGCUGCUGGAUCUCAAGUAACUUUGCAAUACCUUCUUUAUGCAACCCUCUUGGCAUAAAGAAGAAAUUGUUGAUCCUGGAAACCUCAUUAAAAUUCUAGUUUCAUAAACAGAGAAAUGUGUGUAUAAUAGUCCCUCAAAAACUGAACCAUAUCAACCAAGUUUUACUAUGAUCUUAUUAACACUGGGUAAUUUCAACCAAAAUAAAGAACUUGUAAUGCAAGCUCCUCAGUCCCUCACCACAUACAUGGUGCUUGUGCCACACAAUCAUUUCAUGUACCAUGCAAGCACUGCAUGUAGGUAUUAAGAUUAACCCUCCUAACUAAGCUUCUCCAAACCAAGGAGAAUGAAAGUUUCCAAAAUGAUAAACAAGAGAGGAGAAUAAACUACUUUGUUGGUGGAAAAUUGCUGAAAACUAAAAAGAAAAAGAAAAACAACAGACCGCUCUAAAAGACUUGGGAGUUAAUUUACAGGGCAAUCUGAGACGAUGGCUGAUCAGAUCAAUGACAAUCUGGUUCAGGACUGCUGCCGGAACUAUUCAGAGCAUUAGCACAAGCUGAUGCACCAGGAUGGACCUUGUCAUGUUCCUUGAUGGACAUGAUAACAAAUGAACAGCAAAAGAGGCCAAGAAUGCAAUAGUCAAACCAAUCAUGUUUAAGAACUCCCGAUGACUAUCUACACAAUCUACCAUGCAGUUUGGCCCCAUAUGCUAUUUCAAGAGUAACUUAUUCAAAUUACCGACACUAAAAAGUUCAUACCAUCUACAGACUCGCAGAUCUAAGGUGAGAAGAACAGGGAGAAGAACGAUGGCAUAAGCUUAGAUCGAGCUUUAGGCUUCGGUACACUAUAGCUGUCGCGACCGUAACCAUGUAAAAGGAUUCUCCCCCCUAGAGUAUAUAAACUAAUGAACCAAAUGCUUAACGCCCACAUACUCUCGUACUUUAAUCAUACAUUUAACCAAGAAAAAUUAGAAGAUAAUGUAAAGAUCCCUUCUUUCCGGAUCAAAGCUCAAAAAGCUGAAAGAAAACGACAGAAAGAAAGAAUCUUUUUCGUCUGUGGUCAAGAAUUCGGGGGUACCUCCUCGACCACGUUGCCGAUACGGACGUAGGUGGCCUCGGUGACGACGCCCAACGACUGCUGUCCUCCUCUCCUCGUCCUCUUUCUUCCCCAUC